This 23-nucleotide microRNA is filed under the name Bombyx mori (domestic silkworm). RNAcentral's name for it is "bmo-miR-3227". Lineage: Eukaryota; Metazoa; Arthropoda; Insecta; Lepidoptera; Bombycidae. The record is from miRBase by way of RNAcentral.
UAGCAAUUUUUCAGGACGCUCGG